This 160-nucleotide ribosomal RNA is filed under the name uncultured Nitrospira sp. RNAcentral describes it as "partial 16S ribosomal RNA". It matches the Rfam family "Bacterial small subunit ribosomal RNA", at positions 355 to 507 of the family's 1533-position model. The record is from RNAcentral. Lineage: Bacteria; Pseudomonadati; Nitrospirota; Nitrospiria; Nitrospirales; Nitrospiraceae.
UGGGGAAUUUUGGACAAUGGGGGAAACCCUGAUCCAGCCAUGCCGCGUGAGUGAAGAAGGCCUUCGGGUUGUAAAGCUCUUUCGGCCGGAACGAAAUCGCGUCCUUUAAUACGGGGCGUGGAUGACGGUACCGGAAGAAGAAGCACCGGCUAACUACGUG